Molecule: ribosomal RNA, 468 nt
Filed under: uncultured bacterium
Lineage: Bacteria
Description: partial 16S ribosomal RNA
Rfam family: Bacterial small subunit ribosomal RNA
Source: RNAcentral
GACGAACGCUGGCGGCGUGCUUAACACAUGCAAGUCGAACGGAAAGGCCCUGCUUUUGUGGGGUGCUCGAGUGGCGAACGGGUGAGUAACACGUGAGUAACCUGCCCUUGACUUUGGGAUAACUUCAGGAAACUGGGGCUAAUACCGGAUAGGAGCUCCUGCUGCAUGGUGGGGGUUGGAAAGUUUCGGCGGUUGGGGAUGGACUCGCGGCUUAUCAGCUUGUUGGUGGGGUAGUGGCUUACCAAGGCUUUGACGGGUAGCCGGCAUGAGAGGGUGACCGGCGACAUUGGGACUGAGAUACGGCCCAGACGCCUACGGGAGGCAGCAGUGGGGAAUAUUGCACAAUGGGCGGAAGCCUGAUGCAGCAACGCCGCGUGCGGGAUGACGGCCUUCGGGUUGUAAACCGCUUUCGCCUGUGACGAAGCGUGAGUGACGGUAAUGGGUAAAGAAGCACCGGCUAACUACGUG